This 672-nucleotide ribosomal RNA is filed under the name uncultured Vibrionaceae bacterium. RNAcentral describes it as "bacterial SSU rRNA". It matches the Rfam family "Bacterial small subunit ribosomal RNA", at positions 8 to 671 of the family's 1533-position model. Lineage: Bacteria; Pseudomonadati; Pseudomonadota; Gammaproteobacteria; Vibrionales; Vibrionaceae. The record is from RNAcentral.
AGAGUUUGAUCAUGGCUCAGAUUGAACGCUGGCGGCAGGCUUAACACAUGCAAGUCGAGCGGUAACAGAAAUAGCUUGCUAUUUGCUGACGAGCGGCGGACGGGUGAGUAAUGCUUGGGAAUAUGCCUUAUGGUGGGGGACAACAGUUGGAAACGACUGCUAAUACCGCAUAACGUCUACGGACCAAAGGGGGGGAUCUUCGGACCUCUCGCCAUUUGAUUAGCCCAAGUGAGAUUAGCUAGUUGGUAAGGUAAUGGCUUACCAAGGCGACGAUCUCUAGCUGGUUUGAGAGGAUGAUCAGCCACACUGGGACUGAGACACGGCCCAGACUCCUACGGGAGGCAGCAGUGGGGAAUAUUGCACAAUGGGGGGAACCCUGAUGCAGCCAUGCCGCGUGUGUGAAGAAGGCCUUCGGGUUGUAAAGCACUUUCAGUUGUGAGGAAAGGUGUGUAGUUAAUAGCUACAUACCGUGACGUUAGCAACAGAAGAAGCACCGGCUAACUUCGUGCCAGCAGCCGCGGUAAUACGAGGGGUGCAAGCGCUAAUCGGAAUUACUGGGCGUAAAGCGUUCGUAGGCGGUUGAAUAAGCAAGAUGUGAAAGCCCAGGGCUCAACCUCGGAACUGCAUUUGAAACUGGUGAACUAGAGUGCUGUAGAGGGGGGUAGAAUUUCA